GUCCACGCCCUAAACGAUGUCAACUGGUUGUUGGGAGGGUUUCUUCUCAGUAACGAAGCUAACGCGUGAAGUUGACCGCCUGGGGAGUACGGCCGCAAGGUUGAACUCAAAGGAAUUGACGGGGACCCGCACAAGCGGUGGAUGAUGUGGUUUAAUUCGAUGCAACGCGAAAACCUUAACCUACCCUUGACAUGUCUGGAAAUCCCGAAGAGAUUUGGGAGUGCUCGAAAAGAGAGCCAGAACACAGGUGCUGUAUGGCCGUCGU
RNAcentral lists this ribosomal RNA (265 nucleotides) under uncultured bacterium. RNAcentral describes it as "partial 16S ribosomal RNA". It matches the Rfam family "Bacterial small subunit ribosomal RNA", at positions 793 to 1055 of the family's 1533-position model. The record is from RNAcentral.